Molecule: ribosomal RNA, 490 nt
Filed under: uncultured bacterium
Lineage: Bacteria
Description: partial 16S ribosomal RNA
Rfam family: Bacterial small subunit ribosomal RNA
Source: RNAcentral
AUUGAACGCUGGCGGCAGGCCUAACACAUGCAAGUCGAACGGUAACAGGAAGCAGCUUGCUGCCUUGCUGACGAGUGGCGGACGGGUGAGUAAUGUCUGGGAAACUGCCUGAUGGAGGGGGAUAACUACUGGAAACGGUAGCUAAUACCGCAUAACGUCGCAAGACCAAAGAGGGGGACCUUCGGGCCUCUUGCCAUCGGAUGUGCCCAGAUGGGAUUAGCUAGUCGGUGGGGUAACGGCUCACCUAGGCGACGAUCCCUAGCUGGUCUGAGAGGAUGACCAGCCACACUGGAACUGAGCCACGGUCCAGACUCCUACGGGAGGCAGCAGUGGGGAAGAUUGCACAGUUGGAGCAAGCCUGAUGCAGCCAUGCCGCGUGUAUGAAGAAGGCCUUCGGGUUGUAAAGGACUUUCAGCGGGGAGGAAGGGAGUAAAGUUAAUACCUUCGCUCAUUGACGUUACCCGCAGAAGAAGCACCGGCUAACUCCGUG